GCUUCUUCUCCGGCAGGAGCGCAGAAAUCCGGAGCAGUUACGAGGCAGUUAAUGUCCCGGUAACUAGAGGUUGUCCGCAGGGGUCAAUCAGCGGCCCAUUUAUUUGGGACCUGCUGAUGGAUGUACUGCUACGACGCCUUGAGUCGUACUGCACACUGAGUGCGUACGCGGAUGAUCUGCUGCUUCUCGUCGAGGAACACUCCCGGCUCUCGCUAGAGACAAAAGGAGCGCAACUAAUGUCUAUCGUUGAAACGUGGGGGAUGGAAGCCGGCGUUGCUUUUUCCACUAGCAAGACGGUUAUUAUGCUGCUAAAGAAACCAAGAAGGCUACUCGUGCGUGGUCCGAAUGGAAUGCUUCGACGCGCACCUGCGGUAAAAUUUGCUGGAGCAAACUUACCGUACGUUAGCAGCUGCCGGUACCUUAGCAUCACAGUCAGCGAAGGCUUGAAAUUCUUCGAGCAUGUCAGAAAUCUCCGACAGCGUUUGGCUGGAGUCGUUGCAGCAUUGGCGCGUGUGCUUCAAGCAGUCUGGGGCCUCAGUCCUCGAGCCAGGCGGACCAUUUAUGCCGGAGUCAUGGUGCCCUGUGCACUGUUUGGUGCCUCGGUAUGGUAUGUCACUACGACGCGGCAAGAAGUAGCCAGAGAGCACCUCAUUGCCUGCCAGAGGCUUAUCCUUCUUGGAUGCCUUCCGGUAUGCCGAACAGUGUCCACUGUGGCACUGCAGGUUCUUGCUGGCGUUCCCCCGUUUGAUUUGGCAGCCAUGCAAAUGGCAGUUAAAUACAAGCAUACGCGUGGAUACCCGCUGGAGAUAUACGAUCUGCUGUAUAGCGAAGAUCUCACUGGUCUAAACUGGGAAGAGAAGAUGGUGCGUAUGGAGCAGUGCUUACUGCACAGAUGGCAAGACAGAUGGGAUGACGUAGAUGCAUCCGGACGGGUGACCUACAAGUUUAUUUCAGAUGUGACUUUGCAUUUCGGAAUCCACACUUUGGAUUCCCGAUGCGCACCGGAUUUUUAAUCACAGGACACGGAUCGUUGAACGCAUUUCCGCAUAGCAGAGUGCUCUCGGACUCUGCCGCAUGCUCAUGUGACGAUCCAUUUGAGGAUUGGCAGCACGUCUUGAGUGACUGCCCUCUCUAUGCAGAUUUGCGCGACCUUAAUGGACUUGGAGUGCGAAAAACCGAACGUUUGGAAGGAUUCUGGAGGAUGAGGACAGGACUCGACGACUCAAUGCGUUUGCUGAGGAGGCGUUCCGCAGGAGGAGGGACUUUUAGUCCAUUUACUCUUGCCGUGUGGCUAGCGGCGAAGAAUACUACCACAGCUUGUCAUAGCUUGUCGUAGGAGGCGACUAAUAUGACAUGGGUGCCUUAUCCGAGCUUGUCAGAGCUUAAGGGGUGAGGCCUACCGAGCCUGUAAUUUCGGUACCUCGGGUAGAGCAGUUGUCCAAGGCUGCUCAUUGAAGUCGGCUCCCUUGUGGGAGUAUCGUGGUGGCUGUGGUUGACACCUGUAUGCGGGUAGAGCCUUCGGGUGCGACGAGGACUUGCGUCAUACAACUCGGGUACUGUGACCCAAAGAUCAGCAGGGAUUAAGAUAAAUUCAGUGGGGGGAAUGCUUGCCCGACAAGUACGCAUUCGAAUUGCUACCUGGGUGGUUGCUAUGUACAUAGCUAUAGCUUCUAGUCCGGGGCGUUGGUCUGGCGCUUAACCUAGACACAUUGCACUAUACACUCACUUGUGGGUGUAUAAGAGUGCCGUGGUUGUAAUCCCUUCCCUACGUUAAAUAUGCUUCGGAGGGAUUCGAUAGACACCUGUCCCUAUCUACUAUCUAGCGAAACCACAGCCAAGGAAACGGGGUUGGAAUAAUUAGCUGGGAAAGAAGACCCUUUUGAGCUUGACUCUAAUCUGGCAGUGUAGGGAGACAUAAGUGGUGUAGAAUAAGUGGGAGAUAUUAGACUUCCGUUUGGUAUCGUCAAUGAAAUACCACUACUCUUAUUGUUUCCUUACUUACUUGAUUAAAUGGAACGUGUAUAAUUUCCUAGCCAUUAUACGGAUAUAUUUAUUAUAUCUUAUGGUAUUGGGUUUUGAUGCAAGCUUCUUGAUCAAAGUAUCACGAGUUUGUUAUAUAAUCGCAAACAAAUUCUUUAAUAAAACGGUGCAUUUAUGUAUUUUUGAUUUGACAAUUUGGUAUAACUCCAAUUACUCAGGUAUGAUCCAAUUCAAGGACACUGCCAGGUAGGGAGUUUGACUGGGGCGGUACAUCUCUCAAAUAAUAACGGAGGUGUCCCAAGGUCAGCUCAGUGCGGACAGAAACCACACAUAGAGCAAAAGGGCAAAUGCUGACUUGAUCUCGGUGUUCAGUACACACAGGGACAGCAAAAGCUCGGCCUAUUGAUCCUUUUGGUUUAAAGAGUUUUUAACAAGAGGUGUCAGAAAAGUUACCAUAGGGAUAACUUGCUUGUGGCGGCCAAGCGCUCAUAGCGACGUCGCUUUUUGAUCCUUCGAUGUCGGGUCUUCCUAUCAUUGUGAAGCAAAAUUCACCAAGCGUUGGAUUGUUCACCCAUGCAAGGGAACGUGAGCUGGGUUUAGACCUUCGUGAGACAGGUUAGUUUUACCCUACUAAUGGCAAAACGUUGUUGCGACAGCAUUUCUGCGUAAUGCGAGAGGAACCGCAGGUACUGGCCAAUGGCACAAUACUUGUUCGAGCGAACAGUGGUAUGACGCUGCGUCCGUUGGAUUAUGCCUGAACGCCUCUAAGGUCGUAUCCGUGCUGGACUGCAAUGAUAAAUAAGGGGAAAUUUGCAUUGUAUGGCUUCUAAACCAUUUAGGGCCGUUUUCUCGUCCGUACUUUAGUUUGCCUGCCGGGACAACGGAGCGAUAAACAAAAAAUGGUUUACUCGUCCUUAUGUUAGCGCAGGUAGGGACAAAUUUUGUCUCGGUACUUCAUCCAACGUGCAAAAUUUGUGCGGUUGGAUUGUGC
Molecule: ribosomal RNA, 2971 nt
Filed under: Drosophila takahashii
Lineage: Eukaryota; Metazoa; Arthropoda; Insecta; Diptera; Drosophilidae
Description: eukaryotic LSU rRNA
Rfam family: Eukaryotic large subunit ribosomal RNA (bases 1794-2971)
Source: RNAcentral